GUGCUUGCUUUGGCAGUAUUUGUACUAAAAUAGAAAUGAUACAGAGAAAGAUUAGCAUGGUCCAUGUGCAAGGACAACAUGCAAAUUUUUGUAGUAUUCCAUGAGAUAAUAUUUUU
This is a small nuclear RNA of Monodelphis domestica (gray short-tailed opossum), 116 nucleotides long. The record is from Ensembl. NCBI's taxonomy places the organism in Eukaryota, Metazoa, Chordata, Mammalia, Didelphimorphia, Didelphidae.